This 490-nucleotide ribosomal RNA is filed under the name uncultured bacterium. RNAcentral's name for it is "partial 16S ribosomal RNA". It matches the Rfam family "Bacterial small subunit ribosomal RNA", at positions 30 to 507 of the family's 1533-position model. The record is from RNAcentral.
AUUGAACGCUGGCGGCAGGCUUAACACAUGCAAGUCGAACGGUAACAUCAAGGAGCUUGCUUCUUUGAUGACUAGUGGCGGACGGGUGAGUAUUGCUUUGGAAUCUAGCUUAUGGAGGGGGAUAACUACGGGAAACUUUAUCUAAUACCGCGUAGAAUCGGGAGUUGAAAGUGUGGGCCCUUCGGGCCACAUGCCAUAGGUUGAGCACAAGUGGGAUUAGGUAGUUGGUGAGGUAAAGGCUCACCAAGCCGACGAUCUCUAACUGGUCUGAGAGGAAGACAAGCCACACUGGGACUGAGAAAAGGCCCAGACUCCUACGGGAGGAAGCAGUGGGGAAUAUUGCGCAAUGGGGGAAAGACGGACGCAGCCAAGCCGCGUGAAUGAAGAAGGACUUAGGGUUGGAAAGUGAUUUAGGUAGCGAGGAAGGAAUUUAGUUUAACAGACGAGGUGAUUGACGGUAACUACAGAAGAAGCACCGGCUAACUCCGUG